UACGUAGGUGACAAGCGUUGUCCGGAUUUAUUGGGCGUAAAGCGAGCGCAGGCGGUCUUUUAAGUCUGAUGUGAAAUCUCGGGGCUCAACCCCGAGCGGUCAUUGGAAACUGGGAGACUUGAGUACAGAAGAGGAAAGUGGAAUUCCACGUGUAGCGGUGAAAUGCGUAGAUAUUCGGAGGAACACCAGUGGCGAAGGCGGCUCGCUGGUCUGUAAUUGACGCUGAGGCUCGAAAGCGUGGGGAGCAAACAGG
RNAcentral lists this unclassified non-coding RNA (253 nucleotides) under Bacilli bacterium. RNAcentral's name for it is "contains 16S-23S intergenic spacer region". It matches the Rfam family "Bacterial small subunit ribosomal RNA", at positions 524 to 776 of the family's 1533-position model. Lineage: Bacteria; Bacillati; Bacillota; Bacilli. The record is from RNAcentral.